GCCUGGGUGGUGAAAUUGGUAGACACAAGGGACUUAAAAUCCCUCGGCUUCACGGCCGUGCCGGUUCGAUUCCGGCCCUAGGUACCA
Molecule: transfer RNA, 87 nt
Filed under: Gammaproteobacteria bacterium
Lineage: Bacteria; Pseudomonadati; Pseudomonadota; Gammaproteobacteria
Also listed under: 5 other names
Description: tRNA-Leu
Rfam family: tRNA
About the family: Transfer RNA (tRNA) molecules are approximately 80 nucleotides in length. Their secondary structure includes four short double-helical elements and three loops (D, anti-codon, and T loops). Further hydrogen bonds mediate the characteristic L-shaped molecular structure. tRNAs have two regions of fundamental functional importance: the anti-codon, which is responsible for specific mRNA codon recognition, and the 3' end, to which the tRNAs corresponding amino acid is attached (by aminoacyl-tRNA synthetases). tRNAs cope with the degeneracy of the genetic code in two manners: having more than one tRNA (with a specific anti-codon) for a particular amino acid; and 'wobble' base-pairing, i.e. permitting non-standard base-pairing at the 3rd anti-codon position.
Source: RNAcentral